GGGUCAGUAGGUUGGUCGUGCCACCGGUACGUACUGGUCUAACUGAUUCCUCCUUCCUGAAGAACCGUAAUGCCAUUAAUUUGGUGUUGCGGGGAAACAGGACUGUUACUUUGAAAAAAUUAGAGUGUUUAAAGCAAGCUAACGCUUGAAUGCAUUAGCAUGGAAUAAUGAAAUAGGACGAUCGAUCCUAUUUUGUUGGUUUCUAGGAUUGACGUA
This 216-nucleotide ribosomal RNA is filed under the name Glomeromycotina sp. RNAcentral's name for it is "partial small subunit ribosomal RNA". The stretch from base 40 to 216 matches the Rfam family "Eukaryotic small subunit ribosomal RNA", at positions 686 to 864 of the family's 1831-position model. The record is from RNAcentral. Lineage: Eukaryota; Fungi; Glomeromycota.